GUCGAGGGGCAGCAUGGUCUUAGCUUGCUAAGGCCGAUGGCGACCGGCGCACGGGUGAGUAACGCGUAUCCAACCUGCCUUACACUCUUGGACAGCCUUCUGAAAGGGAGAUUAAUACAAGAUGUUAUCAUGAGUAAGCAUUUUCGCAUGAUUAAAGGUUUACCGGUGUAAGAUGGGGAUGCGUUCCAUUAGAUAGUAGGCGGGGUAACGGCCCACCUAGUCUUCGAUGGAUAGGGGUUCUGAGAGGAAGGUCCCCCACAUUGGAACUGAGACACGGUCCAAACUCCUACGGGAGGCAGCAGUGAGGAAUAUUGGUCAAUGGACGAGAGUCUGAACCAGCCAAGUAGCGUGAAGGAUGAAGGUUCUAUGGAUUGUAAACUUCUUUUAUACGGGAAUAAACGAAUCCACGUGUGGAUUUUUGCAUGUACCGUAUGAAUAAGGAUCGGCUAACUCCGUGCCAGCAGCCGCGGUAAUACGGAGGAUCCGAGCGUUAUCCGGAUUUAUUGGGUUUAAAGGGAGCGUAGAUGGGUUGUUAAGUCAGUUGUGAAAGUUUGCGGCUCAACCGUAAAAUUGCAAUUGAUACUGGCAGUCUUGAGUACAGUUGAGGUAGGCGGAAUUCGUGGUGUAGCGGUGAAAUGCUUAGAUAUCACGAAGAACUCCGAUUGCGAAGGCAGCUUACUAACCUGUAACUGACAUUGAUGCUCGAAAGUGUGGGUAUCAAACAGGAUUAGAUACCCUGGUAGUCCACACGGUAAACGAUGAAUACUCGCUGUAGGCGAUAUACAGUCUGCGGCCAAGCGAAAGCAUUAAGUAUUCCACCUGGGGAGUACGCCGGCAACGGUGAAACUCAAAGGAAUUGACGGGGGCCCGCACAAGCGGAGGAACAUGUGGUUUAAUUCGAUGAUACGCGAGGAACCUUACCCGGGCUUAAAUUGCAACCGAAUAUGGCGGAAACGCUAUAGCUAGCAUAGCGG
This 974-nucleotide ribosomal RNA is filed under the name Bacteroides sp. Its description in RNAcentral is "bacterial SSU rRNA". It matches the Rfam family "Bacterial small subunit ribosomal RNA", at positions 61 to 1029 of the family's 1533-position model. The record is from RNAcentral. Lineage: Bacteria; Pseudomonadati; Bacteroidota; Bacteroidia; Bacteroidales; Bacteroidaceae.